CUAAAACAUGUGUACUCUCCACACUACAGGGUGCACCCAGGCAAGGUUUUUCCAACAACUGUGGGGUGUUUGUGUUGAUGGUAAGGAAAUGGCUAUUCAGUAUAUUAUGAAUAUGUCAUAUUGGGGCAACUGGGGUGGUAUUUCUUCUCUUUUCAAAAAUAAAUGAAGGAGUUGUUUUUAUUUCUAUAAUCAUAAAUAUAAACCACUUGUACAUUGUCAUGGAUGGAAGGUGGGACUUUGCUGAGUCAAACAUGAAGCAAAUACGGCGAUGGUGGUGCCUUGUUCUUUUGAAGAACUUCCCCCUGCCGUCUGCAGAGGAGCUUUCAGGAAGCAGGAAGAGAAGACGGGAGGGGAAAAAGCUACAGGAUAAAGAUAUCUGCACAAAAAGGGCUAGAGUUGCUCCAACAGCAUCCAGCUCUGAAGGAUCAGACAAAACUGAAGACCAGGAACUGGAACCUGGGAACCUGGUAUGUAAUAUGUGCAUAAUGCUGGAGGUUGUAUGUAUAGCCAGAUGAAAUAGUUCUGAUGACUAGUUGAAUAGUGUUUUUUAUCACUGAAAACUCAUCAGUAGUAGUAGCCUUUGUUUGCAUACCAAUUUGUGGUUUUGGGAGAGUAGGGUGUCAAGUACAGACACAAAUAAUUGUUCUUUCUUCUUCAAGGAAGAUGAUGUUGUCCUGAAGGACACAAUUCAGGCAGCAGCAUGGUGCCAGUUGCAGUACUUCAAGGACAGCGUUUCUCUCCCAGAGGUCAUUGGGAUGGAAGGAUGGGAGCAGAUGGCAGCAUCAACGCAGCGCAAAUCCUAUGACGGCGGGGAUGAGGAAGAAACGCGGAAACCAUUCCAAUUUUCAUUCAGAUUCCAAACUGACUAUGAACUGUUCUGUGUGGAGAUUAUGGACAGGAGAAACCUGAAGGUGUUUGCCUCUUUUGAGUCAAACACAUCUCCCCCUCCCCGUCCCCCUCCCCGUGACGCCUGCGCCACACGACUCCAGUAGUCUGAUGAUGCAGCAUAAUGGCGGCGCUUGGUAGCUAUGGAGGCGGUGGCGGCGAUGUCGGGCGACAGGGCGUGGAGCGAGAGUGGCGUCCACCUCACUGAGGAAGGCGUCAGUGUGUUCCCCCCCCCCCCCCCCCCCGUUGAGACUUUGUUCUACUCUUUAUUGAUUUAUCUUUUAUGUUAUGUUUUGUAGUUGUUAUUUUUUUGUUUUUGUUUUGUUGAAUAAAAAGACUGUUGUUAGUGCUCCUGUGAUUGGUGUAACUUAAUGUGCUUCACACAUGUAGCUUUUCAUUAUGUCUAUUGAGGUACAUUUUUUGCCCUUAGAUGUGGUCACUUCGUUAUUCCUCACAUUACAUCUGUUAAGGUCAUACCUUUGGGUCCCAGUCUUCAUAGUUCCCCAAAUCUUAUUUUGGCUCUUACUGGGCCUGUAACUCUCACAGACAGACGGGUACAGGAGUUCGCACACGUUGCAUUGUUUACAGGCAAGGGUGGAUUACCGCACGGGCACACCGGGCACAUGCCCAGGGGCCCAAGGGCGGUGGGGGGCCCUAAGCCGGAGCUUCUGUGUGAAGUCGCUGUUAGUAACUUUUAAUGUUGCAUUAUCGAAGCAAUCAGUAGAGAAAUACAAAAAUUCAAGCGAAAACAGCAAUAGUAGGCCUAUUAAUACUGAGUAAAAAAAAAAAAGAUCACUAGGGGGCACUAUUUCAGUUAGUGAACAGGUUCACGAACAAUGCACUGUGAUUUAAACAUGGAGCAACGGCGAACGGUUGUAACGUGAACUCUUAAGUGGAACCUUAACCUUCAUAGGGUGUUUGUUUUUUUGUCACACAGGAGGUGCUGCUGGGUCUGGUGGACCCAUUGCCUUUUAAUUCAACAUAAUCAAGCUUUUUUUUUUAAAUACUCACCAGAUGGUUACUUCAUCCCAAUUGCAAGUAAUAUAAACAACACAUAUGUUAAAUUUGUUCACUUUACCUUUGUUAAAUCACAUUUAUGAAUAGAGGUGCCACUCGUUUUUGUUUCUUUUUGUAUUAAAAAGCAACAAAAUAAGGAAAUGCCUCAUAAAACAGGCAUAACUUGGAAAUAAU
Molecule: long non-coding RNA, 2076 nt
Organism: Gadus morhua (Atlantic cod)
Lineage: Eukaryota; Metazoa; Chordata; Actinopteri; Gadiformes; Gadidae
Source: Ensembl